ACAGAUUUGAUGCACCCAAUCUGGUGGUGCUAAUUAAUAACAAAGCCCCAAGUGUACUUGCCGAAUAUGAAAAAUCUGGAACGCUCUCUCUGGCAUCCAGAAAACUCCUUGUGAGAACAGGUGUCAGCGAUCUGGUUGAGCGACGGGGAUUUUACCCCUCCAAUGCUGACAAACUGAUGUUGGCUAAAAGCAUAACAACAAUCUUCCCAUCAUUAAAGAUCAAGAUACAAGAGGCGAAUGAAGGAUUUGAGCACUUUUAUGAUCCAGUGUCCCACUGUGGAUUCAUUGAGUUGAAACUGAGGAACCUGCGGAGAAACCUUCAUGAAGAUCAGAGACGCUAUCGCAAACGCGGAAAGUCCAGUGAGGCUUCUGGAGUAGCUAUAACAUUACAAGCAAUUUCAGAAGGGGAAGAAGAGUCCGCCAAGGAUUGGAUAACAGCUACCAAAAGGAUCAGACCAUCUCCUGAGAACCUCACAUCUAUCAAAAUGGGCAUGCAGAAAACCUUUAACAACCGCAGGUUCUGGAUCUCAAGCCAGUCACCAACAGUAGAAGAGAUUCUCCAGGAGUACCCUCGCUUUGUAGACAUGCCAUAUUUGAUUGAUGCAGAGUUUGCGAGAAUGUUUCCGGGCAAGGAAGACCUCUUCCUCCGGAAAUGGGAAGGGCAUAUUGUUCCGAAACUCCUGAAAGUGGCUACACUUGAAAAUGAAAAUGACCCUAGUGAGCCGUCAGUUGGUGAGGAGAUUGAUGAGUCACGUUGUUUCAGAGCCCUAAAGUUACUCACCCGUUAUCUACCUCCGACUGCAUCAGGGAGGAGCAAAGGAUGGACAAAAUGCAGUGUCAAAUCAGC
Molecule: long non-coding RNA, 847 nt
Organism: Parambassis ranga (Indian glassy fish)
Lineage: Eukaryota; Metazoa; Chordata; Actinopteri; Ambassidae
Source: Ensembl